CGGAGGCUCCCUCACGGCACCGCCGGGCCGAGGCCUCCGGGAACGGGCUGGGCCGAGGCAACCGGGCCCCCAGGCCGCCGGGAUGAGGAGAUGCAGUUUCCACAUCAAUGCAAUGGAUGCUGCUGAGGAAGAACCACCUCAGUCUGAUCUUUGUAAAGUGCUGGUGUUCAGCCUCCAUGGACAGUUCUGGCAGUGCACUUGAAUAAGGCUGCAAAGGAUCUCUUUGUUGUCUUGAGCUCUCAGGGUGGCUGCCUAACACCUGCAACACUCCCACAUCCCUGUGUAAAUUGCCUGCAUCCCUCACUGACAA
Long non-coding RNA from Pyrgilauda ruficollis (rufous-necked snowfinch), 310 nucleotides. RefSeq lists it as uncharacterized. Lineage: Eukaryota; Metazoa; Chordata; Aves; Passeriformes; Passeridae. The record is from RefSeq and is a predicted model, not a curated record. The transcript has 3 exons.